AUGGUCGACCCGGGGACUUUAAGCCUACCGAGGUUUUACUGUGACAGCUCCGUGAGGAUGUGGUUUGUUGAGUUGUUUUUAUGUGUUUAUUAUGUCCAGGCGGUGGUGGUGAGCUGGACGAGGGGACAACCAGAGAAGGUGGUGUAGGGUACCGACAGUUGAAACGAGCAGGGGGACAGGACUUUGGUCCUUUCGGCCCGACGGCUCUCCUUACCUCUGUAGGAGGUAAACAGCAGUCUGGCUUAUUUAUAUAAAGAGGAGAAGCGAACGGAAACGACUGGAAGGCGAAAUAAAAGAAACAGCUGAAGGCGAACGAAAAAGGGGAGCGACAUCGCAGACUAGCUACCCAAGCAGGGAGCAGACCCCUUUAGAGGCCCGUUGGAAGAAGGGACAGCAGGAGUCAAAGAGGAGGACUCUUCAGGAGGAGACACUUAUUUAUCUAAAACAUGGCAGAUGCAGAGCUGGACUUCCAGACGGGUGAUGCCGGUGCUUCAGCCACCUACCCCAUGCAGUGCUCUGCCCUGCGUAAAAACGGUUUUGUGGUGCUCAAAGGGCGUCCCUGCAAGAUCGUUGAGAUGUCCACCUCCAAGACCGGAAAGCAUGGUCACGCCAAGGUUCACCUGGUCGGCAUCGACAUCUUCUCCGGUAAGAAGUAUGAAGACAUCUGUCCCUCCACUCAUAACAUGGAUGUCCCCAACAUCAAAAGAAUGGAUUACCAGGAAAAGCAGUCUCAGAGUUCCGGAUGUGUCCUGUGUCAUCCCACCCCAAUCACUGACAUGGAGAAGUGGAAUCGGCCCAACAAGAACAGCCUGUUUGGGUCACAACUAUCUCUGACUCAUCCUGACCACUGUUGCUGCCGUCUCCCAGCUCAUCGGGAUCCAGGACGGAUACUUGUCCCUGCUCCAGGACAGCGGGGAAGUCCGGGAGGACCUGAAGAUUCCAGAGGGAGACCUUGGAAAAGAAAUAGAGAGCAAACAUGAAGCUGGAGAAGAGAUUCUGAUCACCGUUCUAAAUGCUAUGGAAGAGGAAGCCGCCAUCGGCAUCAAAGCCUUGGGGAAAUGAGCCCGAGCAGGGGCAAUCAAGACCAAUGGAAACGAAGGGAGCUAAUGACUCGUCUGCGUUUUUUUUUCAUUCUCUCCAGUUUUCUGACCCUCCUGUGGGCUCGGUCACAGUUCACGUCCCGACUACGUGAUCAUAAACCAGAACAGGUGUGCAUAUUUAAAAUAGAUGAUCACCUUUAGAAAGAAGAGGGACAGUGUUUUCUUUUUAUUGAUCCCUGAUUUAUGAAGGGCUUCAUCUCCAGUGGUCUGUUCAGCAGGCGGAUUCGUAUUUCUGCACAACACCUGGUCUGAAGCAGCUCCAUCACCUGGCGCCUAUGCGGAACAAUGCACCCUUCCUUUUGUUUUGUGUCCAAAAACAACUCCUGGGAAGCUCUUUGCAGAAACUUUGGGAAGAAAUGACUCCAACCUGGAACAGAUUUGUUUUCAGAGCAGCAGUUUACUUAACCAGGCCCGACUUUGCAGGACGUCUCUGUGGGCAAACAAUAAAAAGGAAAGAAUGGCAAAAACA
This is an RNA transcript of Nothobranchius furzeri (turquoise killifish), 1569 nucleotides long. It is a transcript of the gene named eukaryotic translation initiation factor 5A-1, with no coding region annotated. The record is from RefSeq and is a predicted model, not a curated record. Lineage: Eukaryota; Metazoa; Chordata; Actinopteri; Cyprinodontiformes; Nothobranchiidae.